RNAcentral lists this ribosomal RNA (207 nucleotides) under uncultured bacterium. RNAcentral's name for it is "partial 16S ribosomal RNA". It matches the Rfam family "Bacterial small subunit ribosomal RNA", at positions 568 to 774 of the family's 1533-position model. The record is from RNAcentral.
CACGUAGGCGGAUUGGAAAGUUGGGGGUGAAAUCCCGGGGCUCAACCCCGGAACUGCCUUCAAAACUCCCAGUCUGGAGGUCGAGAGAGGUGAGUGGAAUUCCGAGUGUAGAGGUGAAAUUCGUAGAUAUUCGGAGGAACACCAGUGGCGAAGGCGGCUCACUGGCUCGAUACUGACGCUGAGGUGCGAAAGCGUGGGGAGCAAACA